This 388-nucleotide ribosomal RNA is filed under the name uncultured bacterium. RNAcentral describes it as "bacterial SSU rRNA". It matches the Rfam family "Bacterial small subunit ribosomal RNA", at positions 30 to 420 of the family's 1533-position model. The record is from RNAcentral.
AUUGAACGCUGGCGGCAUGCCUUACACAUGCAAGUCGAACGGCAGCGGACCUUCGGGUGCCGGCGAGUGGCGAACGGGUGAGUAAUGCAUCGGAACGUGCCAUUGAGUGGGGGAUAACGUAGCGAAAGUUACGCUAAUACCGCAUAUUCUGUGAGCAGGAAAGCAGGGGACCGCAAGGCCUUGCGCUCUUUGAGCGGCCGAUGUCAGAUUAGCUAGUUGGUGAGGUAAAGGCUUACCAAGGCAACGAUCCGUAGCUGGUCUGAGAGGAUGAUCAGCCACACUGGAACUGAGACACGGUCCAGACUCCUACGGGAGGCAGCAGUGGGGAAUAUUGGACAAUGGGCGGAAGCCUGAUCCAGCAAUGCCGCGUGUGUGAAGAAGGCCUCGG